RNAcentral lists this ribosomal RNA (253 nucleotides) under uncultured bacterium. RNAcentral's name for it is "partial 16S ribosomal RNA". It matches the Rfam family "Bacterial small subunit ribosomal RNA", at positions 524 to 776 of the family's 1533-position model. The record is from RNAcentral.
UACGGGGGGGGCAAGCGUUGUUCGGAAUUACUGGGCGUAAAGGGCGCGUAGGCGGCCUUCUAAGUCAGACGUGAAAUCCCCCGGCUUAACCUGGGAACUGCGUCUGAUACUGGGAGGCUUGAGUAUGGGAGAGGGAUGUAGAAUUCCAGGUGUAGCGGUGAAAUGCGUAGAUAUCUGGAGGAAUACCGGUGGCGAAGGCGGAUCUCUGGGCCUUACCUGACGCUCAGGUGCGAAAGCUAGGGGAGCGAACAGG